AAAUUGAAGAGUUUGAUCAUGGCUCAGAUUGAACGCUGGCGGCAGGCCUAACACAUGCAAGUCGAGCGGUAACACAGAGAGCUUGCUCUCGGGUGACGAGCGGCGGACGGGUGAGUAAUGUCUGGGAAACUGCCUGAUGGAGGGGGAUAACUACUGGAAACGGUAGCUAAUACCGCAUAACGUCGCAAGACCAAAGUGGGGGACCUUCGGGCCUCAUGCCAUCAGAUGUGCCCAGAUGGGAUUAGCUAGUAGGUGGGGUAAUGGCUCACCUAGGC
Molecule: ribosomal RNA, 275 nt
Filed under: Klebsiella aerogenes
Lineage: Bacteria; Pseudomonadati; Pseudomonadota; Gammaproteobacteria; Enterobacterales; Enterobacteriaceae
Description: partial 16S ribosomal RNA
Rfam family: Bacterial small subunit ribosomal RNA
Source: RNAcentral